CAGUCGCCACGGUAAUACGUAGGUGGCAAGCGUUGUCCGGAAUUAUUGGGCGUAAAGCGCGCGCAGGCGGAUCAGUCAGUCUGUCUUAAAAGUUCGGGGCUUGGCCCCGUGAUGGGAUGGAAACUGCUGAUCUAGAGUAUCGGAGAGGAAAGUGGAAUUCCUAGUGUAGCGGUGAAAUGCGUAGAUAUUGGGAGGAACACCAGUGGCGAAGGCGGCUCUCUGGCUUGUAACUGACGCUGAGGCUCGAAAGCGUGGGGAGCAAACAGGAUUAGAUACCCCCGUAGUCCCUGUCUCUUAUACC
This 301-nucleotide ribosomal RNA is filed under the name uncultured bacterium. RNAcentral's name for it is "partial 16S ribosomal RNA". It matches the Rfam family "Bacterial small subunit ribosomal RNA", at positions 509 to 808 of the family's 1533-position model. The record is from RNAcentral.